GUAGGUGGCGAGCGUUGUCCGGAAUUAUUGGGGCGUAAAGCGCGCGCAGGCGGUUCUUUAAGUCUGAUGUGAAAGCCCACGGGCUCAACCGUGGAGGGUCAUUGGAAACUGGAGAACUUGAGUACAGAAGAGGAAAGCGGAAUUCCACGUGUAGCGGUGAAAUGCGUAGAGAUGUGGAGGAACACCAGUGGCGAAGGCGGCUUUCUGGUCUGUAACUGACGCUGAGGCGCGAAAGCGUGGGGAGCAAACAGGAUUAGAUACCCUGGUAGUCCACGCCGUAAACGAUGAGUGCUAAGUGUUAGGGGGUUUCCGCCCCUUAGUGCUGCAGCUAACGCAUUAAGCACUCCGCCUGGGGAGUACGGCCGCAAAGGCUGA
This 375-nucleotide ribosomal RNA is filed under the name uncultured organism. RNAcentral's name for it is "partial 16S ribosomal RNA". It matches the Rfam family "Bacterial small subunit ribosomal RNA", at positions 527 to 897 of the family's 1533-position model. The record is from RNAcentral.